UUAAACUGAAGAGUUUGAUCCUGGCUCAGAUUGAACGCUGGUGGCAUGCUUAACACAUGCAAGUCGAACGGUAACAGGUCUUAGGAUGCUGACGAGUGGCGGACGGGUGAGUAACGCGUAGGAAUCUGCCCAUUUGAGGGGGAUACCAGUUGGAAACGACUGUUAAUACCGCAUAAUAUCUGUGGAUUAAAGGUGGCUUUCGGGCUGUCGCAGAUGGAUGAGCCUGCGUUGGAUUAGCUAGUUGGUGGGGUAAGGGCCCACCAAGGCUACGAUCCAUAGCUGAUUUGAGAGGAUGAUCAGCCACAUUGGGACUGAGACACGGCCCAAACUCCUACGGGAGGCAGCAGUGGGGAAUAUUGGACAAUGGGGGCAACCCUGAUCCAGCAAUGCCAUGUGUGUGAAGAAGGCCCUAGGGUUGUAAAGCACUUUAGUUGGGGAGGAAAGCCUCAAGGUUAAUAGCCU
This 462-nucleotide ribosomal RNA is filed under the name Francisella tularensis subsp. holarctica. Its description in RNAcentral is "bacterial SSU rRNA". It matches the Rfam family "Bacterial small subunit ribosomal RNA", at positions 1 to 470 of the family's 1533-position model. The record is from RNAcentral. Lineage: Bacteria; Pseudomonadati; Pseudomonadota; Gammaproteobacteria; Thiotrichales; Francisellaceae.